GGACUGACCUAGUUCGAUCUUUUAAAAUUAUGGCAUUUAAAGACCAUGUAAUAUAAUAGUCCAGACAUGAAUAUAAAUGUAUGAAUGUGUUGCUUAACAUGUUUAUAACAGUAUGAAUGGAGAAUAGGUUAAGUGGGAGUUUACAUGGGAGAGUUUGGAGAGAUCAUUUGGGGUCAGAAUGUGGUGAGCCUGGAGGGCUGUGCUGAGUUCAGAUUUCAUUCUGGGAAAGGUGGAGAGCCAUGAAUGAAAUUUGAUGGGAAAUUGGUUAAAGGAUCAAAUUUGAAUUUUAAACAAAUUAUUCUGGCAAC
RNAcentral lists this long non-coding RNA (308 nucleotides) under Pan troglodytes (chimpanzee). Its description in RNAcentral is "long non-coding RNA NONPTRT000584". Lineage: Eukaryota; Metazoa; Chordata; Mammalia; Primates; Hominidae. The record is from RNAcentral.